This 1432-nucleotide ribosomal RNA is filed under the name uncultured organism. Its description in RNAcentral is "16S ribosomal RNA". It matches the Rfam family "Bacterial small subunit ribosomal RNA". The record is from RNAcentral.
GGGCUUAACACAUGCAAGUCGAGGGGCAGCAUGGUCCUUUCUUGCUAAGGCCGAUGGCGACCGGCGCACGGGUGAGUAACACGUAUCCAACCUGCCGUCUACUCUUGGACAGCCUUCUGAAAGGAAGAUUAAUACAAGAUGGCAUCAUGAGUCCGCAUGUUCACAUGAUUAAAGGUAUUCCGGUAGACGAUGGGGAUGCGUUCCAUUAGAUAGUAGGCGGGGUAACGGCCCACCUAGUCUUCGAUGGAUAGGGGUUCUGAGAGGAAGGUCCCCCACAUUGGAACUGAGACACGGUCCAAACUCCUACGGGAGGCAGCAGUGAGGAAUAUUGGUCAAUGGGCGAGAGCCUGAACCAGCCAAGUAGCGUGAAGGAUGACUGCCCUAUGGGUUGUAAACUUCUUUUAUAAAGGAAUAAAGUCGGGUAUGCAUACCCGUUUGCAUGUACUUUAUGAAUAAGGAUCGGCUAACUCCGUGCCAGCAGCCGCGGUAAUACGGAGGAUCCGAGCGUUAUCCGGAUUUAUUGGGUUUAAAGGGAGCGUAGAUGGAUGUUUAAGUCAGUUGUGAAAGUUUGCGGCUCAACCGUAAAAUUGCAGUUGAUACUGGAUAUCUUGAGUGCAGUUGAGGCAGGCGGAAUUCGUGGUGUAGCGGUGAAAUGCUUAGAUAUCACGAAGAACUCCGAUUGCGAAGGCAGCCUGCUAAGCUGCAACUGACAUUGAGGCUCGAAAGUGUGGGUAUCAAACAGGAUUAGAUACCCUGGUAGUCCACACGGUAAACGAUGAAUACUCGCUGUUUGCGAUAUACGGCAAGCGGCCAAGCGAAAGCGUUAAGUAUUCCACCUGGGGAGUACGCCGGCAACGGUGAAACUCAAAGGAAUUGACGGGGGCCCGCACAAGCGGAGGAACAUGUGGUUUAAUUCGAUGAUACGCGAGGAACCUUACCCGGGCUUAAAUUGCAGAUGAAUUACGGUGAAAGCCGUAAGCCGCAAGGCAUCUGUGAAGGUGCUGCAUGGUUGUCGUCAGCUCGUGCCGUGAGGUGUCGGCUUAAGUGCCAUAACGAGCGCAACCCUUGUUGUCAGUUACUAACAGGUUCCGCUGAGGACUCUGACAAGACUGCCAUCGUAAGAUGUGAGGAAGGUGGGGAUGACGUCAAAUCAGCACGGCCCUUACGUCCGGGGCUACACACGUGUUACAAUGGGGGGUACAGAGGGCCGCUACCACGCGAGUGGAUGCCAAUCCCCAAAACCUCUCUCAGUUCGGACUGGAGUCUGCAACCCGACUCCACGAAGCUGGAUUCGCUAGUAAUCGCGCAUCAGCCACGGCGCGGUGAAUACGUUCCCGGGCCUUGUACACACCGCCCGUCAAGCCAUGGGAGCCGGGGGUACCUGAAGUGCGUAACCGCGAGGAGCGCCCUAGGGUAAAACUGGUGACUGGGG